Long non-coding RNA from Dermochelys coriacea (leatherback sea turtle), 125 nucleotides. RefSeq lists it as uncharacterized. The record is from RefSeq and is a predicted model, not a curated record. NCBI's taxonomy places the organism in Eukaryota, Metazoa, Chordata, Testudines, Dermochelyidae. The transcript has 3 exons.
UGUGACAUUUCCCAGGGCACAAUCUGGCCUGUUGAACAGCUGGGUCCCCUAGUUCUCCAACCUGGGGGGCUUUUUACACUGCUUCGCUGUGAGAGCAACCACUCCUGUCAGGUCACACUGUAACC